GAUGAACGCUGGCGGCGUGCCUAAUACAUGCAAGUCGAGCGAACAGACGAGGAGCUUGCUCCUCUGACGUUAGCGGCGGACGGGUGAGUAACACGUGGAUAACCUACCUAUAAGACUGGGAUAACUUCGGGAAACCGGAGCUAAUACCGGAUAAUAUAUUGAACCGCAUGGUUCAAUAGUGAAAGACGGUUUUGCUGUCACUUAUAGAUGGAUCCGCGCCGCAUUAGCUAGUUGGUAAGGUAACGGCUUACCAAGGCGACGAUGCGUAGCCGACCUGAGAGGGGGACGGGCAAAAAGGGAAAGGAGCAACGGACAGAACUAAGAGGGGGGGCAGAAGGAGGGAAUCUUCAGAAAGGGGAAAAGGCAGGAAGAAGAAACGCGGGGGGAGGGAGGAAGGUAUAAGAAUAAAAAAACUUUGUAAUAAGGGAAAAAAAAAUGGGAAAGAAAGAAGGCACGUCUGGAGGGAACAAAAGAAGAAAACCACGAAAAAGUACGGC
This 497-nucleotide ribosomal RNA is filed under the name uncultured bacterium. Its description in RNAcentral is "partial 16S ribosomal RNA". The stretch from base 20 to 338 matches the Rfam family "Bacterial small subunit ribosomal RNA", at positions 47 to 358 of the family's 1533-position model. The record is from RNAcentral.